Paramisgurnus dabryanus is the source of this 1469-nucleotide long non-coding RNA. RefSeq lists it as uncharacterized. Lineage: Eukaryota; Metazoa; Chordata; Actinopteri; Cypriniformes; Cobitidae. The record is from RefSeq and is a predicted model, not a curated record.
UCCAUUUUUGUCCCCCAAGGUACAAUCAACACAAAAGUACCCCAUAGGGCUCAUUAUUGGACCUCAAGGUACAUGUAUGUACCUUUUUGAGGGUCAAAAAGGUACAUAUUUGUUCCCAAGCAUUAAAAGGUACAUAUUUGUACCAUUUCUUUUAAAGGAUAAGGUACAAUGUUAAGAGACAGCCUCUUGCCAUUUUUUUUUAUUUGUUGUUCUAGACAACUGCUGUAAAUCUGGUCAGUAACGUAAAUAACUAUUGUGUCAAUUUUUGUUUCCUUUAGUUGGACACAUGGGUAUUGAAGUAGUAUUAGUUUUCUUCUGUUCAUUGACAGUGUGUUUAAUUUUAAAUUUUAAUUUAAAAUUUUAAUGAAAAAAAAGUUAAUUUCACUUAAUAAAAACUGUGAUAUGAACUCAAAAACUGCAAUUGAUUAACCAUUAUUUAAACUGAAUAAAUACUGAAUAACUGAAUCCCUCACACACACCGAAAAAAAACCCGCGCUUUUAUUUUGACACGCGCCCAUCCCCCCACAUCUCACGGUCAGAGUCAGUUUCACAGAGCAGCUCAGGAGGACGACAGACACAUAAAGAACAUUAACAGUUUAGGGCAAACGUUUCCCGCGCAAGUUUGAAUCUCUCUCAGUCAGUCAGGGGGAGAUUAACUGACUGACUGUCUACACGCCACCAAACAGUCAGUUAUACAGAAACCUUUUUAAGUUUAGUUUGAAUCUCUCUCAGUCAGUCAGGGGGAGAUUAACUGACAGACUGUAUAACGUUACAGGACACCAAACAGUCUUACCAUAAAACCUUUUACAGUUUAGCACAAAUGUUUCCCGUUGAAGUUUGAAUCUCUCUCAGUCAGGGGGAGAUUGACUGACAGACGGUCUACUUGCCACCCAAACAGUAAUUUACCCUGAAACCUUUUACAGUUUAGCGCAAACGUUUCCUGCGCAAGUUUGAAUCUCUCAGUCAGGGGGGAGAUUGACUGACUGACUGACUGUCUACUCGCCACCAAACAGUCAGUUACACAGAGGUGACAAGUAAGGACUAACGUUAACUGACUGUCUGUAUGUCUGUCUGUCUGCUCUCAACCAAACAGUCAUUCAAGACCUUUUAAAGUUUAGUGCAAACGUUUCCAGCGCAAGUUUGAAUCUCUCUCAGUCAGGGGGGAGAUUGACUGACAGACUGUCUACUCCCCACCAAACAGUAAUCUACACAGAAACCUUUUAAAGUUUAGCACAAACGUUUCCCGCGCAAGUUUGGAUCUUAACCAUUGAGGGUGGCUGACUGUUCUCGACCAACUAUCAUUCACACGCAAAAACUUUAAAGAUAAGUAUGAACGUGCCCAGAGCAGUUUUCGAUCUUUACCAUUAAGGAGGCUGACUGACUAUCCUCUACCACCCGUCAUUAACACAAGAAAAACUAAAGAAAUGUUACUCCAUAUGGACCUGUUCAUUUACUCAUUAUGCUGUGAG